AAUAUUUAAGAUCAUGUAGUAAAAAUCUCACCUGUCAAUUGAAGCAACCAGCUGUUUCGGAUGAUCAGAGCAACGGUACAAGUUGCUGGAGUCCCUGGGAGCCAGCCGUGGAGACAGAUCAGUAUUCAACCCCAUAUAAGUUGCAAAUACUUACUAUUUUUAACGACAAAUAUCUGGUAAUCCACUAGUUGCACGAGCAGCAAGAAGUGUAAGCUAAAAAGAAACUCGGGAAGGGGUCCACCUUGGCCUCUGAAAAAUAAUUGAAGAGCUAGAAGAAGUUCUUAACGAGAGCUUUUAUUGUCGUCAGAGAGAUCUUUGGCAUUUAAAGUCUGACAGAACCCAAGUCCAUGACGUAAACCAUUGAGGAGUUACCUCAUUGGGAGCCAGGGUGACCCAUCAGACCAUGUUUAUCAUAAUAAUUCAUUGUCAUGGAAACUGAAGCGUUGUGAGAAAUUUCAACUCUGUAGGACAACUGGAUUUAACUGGAAGUAGGAGAAAUCUAACUUGCAAGAUUUGAUCACAGACAGACAACAAUCAAUAUAGACAAAUAUCGGGACAGGUGAAACUAAAUAAAAGCUUGUAAUAGUUUAUAAGUCGCGCUUCGUUGCCUUGCUACUGAGGAUUAUUUCGCUUAGAUGAGAGGACUUAUGAAUAAAUUCACAUGAAAGUAGGUACCUCUGCUGUGUUUCGUAAUUCAAAUGCCUUCUGUGUACAUUUACUCUCCUCAUCAACGGGUGUGCUUCUGGACAAGACAAUGUGUAAAGUAUAUUGGUAAUGCCUACUGAAACCGUAAAGGCCGCUAGUAACAUAUACAGGAGAUGCACUAUCAUAGUUAGAUAUUAGAGAAAAUAUUAUAAAAUAAGCAAAAAAUAUAUUGGUACAAAAUAUUUAAAACAAAAUAAAUGCUAUAAAUAAAUUGGCAAUACGUGACAUUGUGAAAAUAUUUCUGUUCUCAUUUCACCAUUCUGUGAUUUUUACCAUAGAUAACUAACUGGUGGGCUCUGCGCAGCCGCGGUGGCUUUCACAUAUAGAUCCAUGGAAUUAGUACCUAGGUACUCCGUGGAGUACCUACUAAUUCCAUGUAUAGACCAUCGAUCGCUUUUAUGCAGCCUUCAAUUUAAUGCUCUCCAUGUGACACAUCAUCACCAAAUUAGAGUGAUGUCCAUGAAUAUAUUUUUUUCGUAAGGAAUUAGGUAUUAGUUUAGGACACUCGCAAGUUAAGAUUAUAUAAGCUGUAAUAAUCUAAAGUGACGUUCGCCGAGUAAAAAUGAUAAUUUUAGCGAUUUUUUUUUUCACUUUUUGACAUUUUCUAAGAAUGACAGUUUGGUAUCGGAGCGUAGGGUAAAAUUCGAUGCCGAAAAGAAUUGGCUGGACGUAACUCUGGCGUGCACACCAGCGCCCUCUUGGUACCUGCGGCGUACUUCGUGGCGCGAAUGUCCGCCACUGAUGGGUCUCCCGCGGGAACUAGCCGCCGAACUCA
Molecule: long non-coding RNA, 1480 nt
Organism: Plodia interpunctella (Indianmeal moth)
Lineage: Eukaryota; Metazoa; Arthropoda; Insecta; Lepidoptera; Pyralidae
Exons: 4
Source: RefSeq, a predicted model, not a curated record